AGAAGGAGAAUAGAUAUGGUU
This 21-nucleotide microRNA is filed under the name Oryza sativa (Asian cultivated rice). RNAcentral's name for it is "osa-miR5492". Lineage: Eukaryota; Viridiplantae; Streptophyta; Magnoliopsida; Poales; Poaceae. The record is from miRBase by way of RNAcentral.